This is a long non-coding RNA of Strigops habroptila (Kakapo), 167 nucleotides long. RefSeq lists it as uncharacterized. NCBI's taxonomy places the organism in Eukaryota, Metazoa, Chordata, Aves, Psittaciformes, Psittacidae. The record is from RefSeq and is a predicted model, not a curated record. The transcript has 3 exons.
AAUCCAUCUGGAUCCCCAGAAAUCAGAUUAGGAGCAGGGGCAUUUUUAGCUUCUUCUUGUGCACAAGAUAAACAGGCACCUAACACUGCACAAAUAACAUUUUUAGCUUUUCCCACUCUGAUCUUUUGUAAAGCCUGACAUUGUUCAAUACGUUCUACCACUUUCUC